UACGUAGGGGGCAAGCGUUGUCCGGAAUUACUGGGCGUAAAGCGCACGUAGGCGGCUAUUCAAGUCAGGGGUGAAAGCCCGGGGCUCAACCCCGGAACUGCCCUUGAAACUAGAUAGCUAGAAUCUUGGAGAGGUCAGUGGAAUUCCGAGUGUAGAGGUGAAAUUCGUAGAUAUUCGGAAGAACACCAGUGGCGAAGGCGACUGACUGGACAAGUAUUGACGCUGAGGUGCGAAAGCGUGGGGAGCAAACAGG
Molecule: ribosomal RNA, 253 nt
Filed under: uncultured bacterium
Lineage: Bacteria
Description: partial 16S ribosomal RNA
Rfam family: Bacterial small subunit ribosomal RNA
Source: RNAcentral